GGCUGGUGAUGUCACUCAAUGGUUAAGUACUCCUGGAUUAAAUCUCCAGUACCAAAAAAAAAAAAAGAAAGUGCUAGGUUUAAAUGAAAAUAUGUAAAACAUUGGAAAUGCCAAGUUUUAACACUUAACUGUAAAAGAAAGUUUUCUUUAAAUGUAUAGGAAGUUUGGAUACUCAGCACUAGACUUAAAGCAAAGUGGUACAUUUAAAAACAAUAAUUUUAAAAGGCUGGGUUUGCCCAUGGAAAGCCUAUGGUGGUAGAGAUAGAAAUUACUGCAAGAAUAAAAAGUAUGCACAUAUAUUAAUGAAUUACACAUUAGUGCCAGGAAGACCAAUCACAUGACAUUCUUUAUCAAAGAAUCACUGGGAAGUACCAGGAUAAUCAGUGAACUACAGAAAAAUAGUCCUUCAAAAUAAAUAAGCAUGGAAUAUGAAAUCUGGAUACUCUUACCUGACUAAAUGAGUGAUCAUACAUCAACACAUCUAUUUAAGGAACCAAAACACAUUUGGUUUUUGUAGGCUCCCAAACCCACAAAUCUCGUUUACCCUGGAAUCGAAUCUGGUUGACUUUGUUUAAAGGAAAAGAGCAACUAUGGGUGUGUAGCUCAGUGGUAGAGCACUUCCCUAGCACAUGGGAACUUCUAGGUUCAAUGCCCAGCACCAAAAAUAAGGGGAUUUUGUCUUUUGUUUACUUUUGGUACAGGAGCUUUAACCCAACAUUGCUUUACCACUGUGCUACAUCCCCAGCCCUUUUUGUUUUUUAUUUUGAGAAUCUCUCACUAAGUUGCUUAGGGGUUUCACUAAAUUGCUGAGGCUGUCCUUGAACUUGGGAUCCUUUUGUCUCAGCCUCUAGAGCCCCUGGGAUUACAGGUGUGCACCUCUACGCCUGUCAAAAAUAAGGGGAUUUUGGGCUGGGAUAUAGUUCAGUGGCAAAGUCCUGGGUUUGAUCUCCAGUUCCAAAAAGGGUUAGGGAGAGGUUAAAAAGGAGAUGUAUCUGGGUGUGGUGGUGCACAUCUAUAAAUAAAUCCCAGCAACUCAAGAGGCUGAGACGGGAAGACCACAUGUUCCAGACCAGGCUUGGCAAUUUAGCAAGACUCAAAAAAUAAAAAGGACUGGAGAUGUGGCUUAGUGUGUAAAGCACCCCUGGGUUCAAUCCCCAGAGCCAAAGUAAAGGGGGAAUGCAUAUUGUAACUUGCAUAUUUAUAAGCUUAUAUGUUUAUCCAGGUUGUGAUUAUUUCCUUCAGACAUUGAUUACUGAC
RNAcentral lists this long non-coding RNA (1257 nucleotides) under Marmota monax (woodchuck). Lineage: Eukaryota; Metazoa; Chordata; Mammalia; Rodentia; Sciuridae. The record is from RNAcentral.